This 413-nucleotide ribosomal RNA is filed under the name Serendipitaceae sp. RNAcentral describes it as "partial large subunit ribosomal RNA". It matches the Rfam family "Eukaryotic large subunit ribosomal RNA", at positions 22 to 426 of the family's 3401-position model. The record is from RNAcentral. Lineage: Eukaryota; Fungi; Basidiomycota; Agaricomycetes; Sebacinales; Serendipitaceae.
UNUACCCGCUGGAACUUAAGCAUAUCAAUAAGCGGAGGAAAAGAAACUAACAAGGAUUCCCCUAGUAACGGCGAGUGAAGAGGGAAAAGCUCAAAUUUUGAAUCUGGUGUCUUUGACUCCCGAGUUGUAAUCUAUAGAAGUGUUUUCCGUGUCGGACCGUGCACAAGUUCCCUGGAACGGGGCGUCAUAGAGGGUGAGAAUCCCGUAUAUGGCACGGACCGCCGAUGCUUUUGUGAUACACUCUCAACGAGUCGAGUUGUUUGGGAAUGCAGCUCAAAAUGGGUGGUAAAUUCCAUCUAAAGCUAAAUAUUGGCGAGAGACCGAUAGCGAACAAGUACCGUGAGGGAAAGAUGAAAAGCACUUUGGAAAGAGAGUGAAACAGUACGUGAAAUUGUUGAAAGGGAAACACUUGA